Myotis brandtii (Brandt's bat) is the source of this 324-nucleotide long non-coding RNA. RefSeq lists it as uncharacterized. NCBI's taxonomy places the organism in Eukaryota, Metazoa, Chordata, Mammalia, Chiroptera, Vespertilionidae. The transcript is spliced from 3 exons. The record is from RefSeq and is a predicted model, not a curated record.
AAAGGAAGCUGUCAGCCGGGCGCGGUGGCGCGCGCCUGUGGUCCCAGCUACUCGGGAGGCUGAGGCUGGAGGAUCGCUUGAGCCCAGGAGCUCUGGGCUGGAGUGCGCUAUGCCGAUCGGGUGUCCGCACUCACUUCGGCAUCAGUAUGGUGACCUCCCGGGAGCGGGGGGCCACCAGGUUGCCUAAGGAGGGGUGAACCGGCCCAGGUCCGAGACGGAGUAGGUCAAAGCUCCCUUGCUGAUCAGCAGUGCGAUCGCGCCUGUGAAUAGCCACUGCACUCCAGCCUGGGCAACAUAGCGAGACCCCGUCUGUUAGGCAACCAU